Molecule: long non-coding RNA, 3611 nt
Organism: Macadamia integrifolia
Lineage: Eukaryota; Viridiplantae; Streptophyta; Magnoliopsida; Proteales; Proteaceae
Exons: 2
Source: RefSeq, a predicted model, not a curated record
AAAAUAAUAAUAAAUUAAAAACUAGCAGACUCCCUUCUGAGUAACCGGGCCUCUUCGUCACAAACGUUGAGUUUCGCGUAAAAAGGUUGGAUAGUCUGUGUCAACUAAUCAAGCCGAAAAAAAAAAUAAUAAAUUUAAAACUAGCAGACUCCCUUCUGAGUAACUGGGCCUCUUCGUCACAAACGUUGAGUUUCGUGUAAAAAGGUUGGAUAGUCUGUGUCAACUAAUAGAGCCAAAAAAAAAAUAAUAAAUUUAAAACUAGCAGACUCCCUUUUGAGUAACCGGGCCUCUUCGUCACAAACGUUGAGUUUCGCGUAAAAAGGUUGGACAGUCUGUGUCAACUAAUCAAGUCGAAAAAAAUAAUAACAAAUUAAAAACUAGCCGACUCCCUUCUGAGUAACCGGGCCUCUUCGUCACAAACGUUGAGUUUCGCGUAAAAAGGUUGGAUAGUCUGUGUCAACUAAUCAAGCUGGAAAAAAAUAAUAAUAAAUUUAAAACUAGCAGACUCCCUUCUGAGUAACCGGGCCUCCUCGUCACAAACAUUGAGUUUCGCGUAAAAAGGUUGGACAGCCUGUGUCAACUAAUCAAGCCGGAAAAAAAGUACUAAUAAAUUAAAAACUAGCAGACUCCCUUCUGAGUAACCGGGCCUCUUCGUCACAAACGUUGGGUUUCGCGUAAAAAAGUUGGAUAGUCUGUGUCAACUAAUCAAGCCGAAAAACAAAUAAUAAUAAAUUAAAAACUAGUGGACUCCCUUCUGAGUAACCGGGCCUCUUCGUCACAAACGUUGAGUUUCGCGUAAAAAGGUUGGACAGUCUGUGUCAACUAAUCAAACCGAAAAAAAAGAAGUAAUAAUAAAUUAAAAACUAGCAGACUCCUUUCUGAGUAACCGGGCCUCUUCGUCACAAACGUUGAGUUUCGCGUAAAAAGGUUGGGCAGUCUGUGUCAACUAAUCAAGCCGAAAAAAAAUAAUAAUAAAUUAAAAACUAGCAGACUCCCUUCUGAGUAACCGGGCCUCUUCGUCACAAACGUUGAGUUUCGCGUAAAAAGGUUGGACAGUCUGUGUCAACUAAUCAAGUCGAAAAAAAAUAAUAAUAAAUUAAAAACUAGCGGACUCCCUUCUGAGUAACCAGGCCUCUUCGUCACAAACGUUGAGUUUCGCGAAAAAAGUUUUGACAGUUUGUGUCAACUAAUCAAGCUAAAAAAAAAAGUAAUAAUAAAGUAAAAACUAACAAACUCCCUUCUGAGUAACCGGGCCUCUUCGUCACAAACGUUGAGUUUCGCGUAAAAAGGUUGGACAAUCUGUGUCAACUAAUCAAGUCGAAAAAAAAUAAUAAUAAAUUAAAAACUAGCAGACUCCCUUCUGAGUAACCGGGCCUCUUCGUCACAAACGUUGAGUUUCGCGUAAAAAGGUUGGAUAGUCUGUGUCAACUAAUCAAGCCGGAAAAAAAUAAUAAUAAAUUUAAAACUAGCAGACUCCCUUCUGAGUAACCGGGCCUCUUCGUCACAAACGUUGAGUUUCGCGUAAAAAGGUUGGACAGUCUGUGUCAACUAAUAGAGCCGAAAAAAAAAUAAUAAAUUUAAAACUAGUAGACUCCCUUUUGAGUAACUGGGCCUCUUCGUCACAAACGUUGAGUUUCGCGUAAAAAGGUUGGACAGUCUGUGUCAACUAAUCAAGCCGAAAAAAAAGUAAUAAUAAAAAAAAACUAGCAGACUCCCUUCUGAGUAACCGGGCCUCUUCGUCACAAACGUUGAGUUUCGCGUAAAAAGGUUGGACAGUCUGUGUCAACUAAUCAAGCCGAAAAAAAAAAGUAAUAAUAAAAAAAAACUAGCAGACUCCCUUCUGAGUAACCGGGCCUCUUCGUCACAAACGUUGAGUUUCGCGUAAAAAGGUUGGACAGUCUGUGUCAACUUAUCAAGCCGAAAAAAAAGAAAUAAUAAAUUAAAAACUAACGGACUCCCUUCUGAGUAACCGGGCCUCUUCGUCACAAACGUUGAGUUUCGCGUAAAAAGGUUGGAUACUCUGUGUCAACUAAUCAAGCCGAAAAAAAAAAUAAUAAAUUUAAAACUAGCAGACUCCCUUCUGAGUAACUGGGCCUCUUCGUCACAAACGUUGAGUUUCGCGUAAAAAGGUUGGACAGUCUGUGUCAACUAAUCAAGCCGAAAAAAAAAAGUAAUAAUAAAAAAAAACUAGCAGACUCCCUUCUGUGUAACCGGGCCUCUUCGUCACAAACGUUGAGUUUCGCGUAAAAAGGUUGGACAGUCUUUGUUAACUAAUCAAGCCGAAAAAAAAAGAAAUAAUAAAUUAAAAACUAGCAGACUCCCUUCUGAGUAACCGGGCCUCUUCGUCACAAACGUUGAGUUUCGCGUAAAAAGGUUGGAUAGUCUGUGUCAACUAAUCAAGCUGGAAAAAAAUAAUAAUAAAUUUAAAACUAGCAGACUCCCUUCUGAGUAACCGGGACUCUUCGUCACAAACGUUGAGUUUCGUGUAAAAAGGUUGGACAGUCUGUGUCAACUAAUCAAGCCGAAAAAAAAGAAAUAAUAAAUUAAAAACUAGUGGACUCCCUUCUGAGUAACCGGGCCUCUUUGUCACAAACGUUGAGUUUCGCGUAAAAAGAUUGGAUAGUCUGUGUCAACUAAUCAAGCCGGAAAAAAAAAUAAUAAAUUUAAAACUAGCAGACUCCCUUCUGAGUAACUGGGCCUCUUCGACACAAACGUUGAGUUUCGCGUAAAAAACUUGGACAGUCUGUGUCAACUAAUCAAGCCGAAAAAAAAAGAAAUAAUAAAUUAAAAACUAGCGGACUCCCUUCUGAGUAACCAGGCCUCUUCGUCACAAACGUUGACUUUCGCGUAAAAAGUUUGGAAGUUUGUGUGAACUAAUCAAGCUGAAAAAAAAAGUAAUAAUAAAGUAAAAACUAGCAAACUCCCUUCUGAGUAACCGGGCCUCUUCGUCACAAACGUUGAGUUUCGCGUAAAAAGGUUGGACAGUCUGUGUCAACUAAUCAAGUCGAAAAAAAUAAUAACAAAUUAAAAACUAGCAGACUCCCUUCUGAGUAACCGGGCCUCUUCGUCACAAACGUUGAGUUUCGCGUAAAAAGGUUGGACAGUCUGUGUCAACUAAUCAAGCCGAAAAAAAAGAAGUAAUAAUAAAAUAAAAACUAGCAGACUCCCUUCUGAGUAACCGUGCCUCUUCGUCACAAACGUUGAGUUUCGCUUAAAAAGGUUUGACAGUCUGUGACUACUAAUCAAGUCGAAAAAAAAUAAUAAUAAAUUUAAAACUAGCAGACUCCCUUCUGAGUAACCGGGCCUCUUCGUCACAAACGUUAAGUUUCGCGUAAAAAGGUUGGAUAGUCUGUGUCAACUAAUCAAGCCGGAAAAAAAUAAUAAUAAAUUUAAACUAGCAGACUCCCUUCUGAGUAACCGGGCCUCUUCGUCACAAACGUUGAGUUUCGCGUAAAAAGGUUGGACAGUCUGUGUCAACUAAUAGAGCCGAAAAAAAAAUAAUAAAUUUAAAACUAGCAGACUCCCUUCUGAGUAACUGGGCCUCUUCGUCACAAACGUUGAGUUUCGCGUAAAAAGGUUGGACAGUCUGUGUCAACUAAUCAAGCCGAAAA